UACGAAGGGGGCUAGCGUUGUUCGGAUUUACUGGGCGUAAAGCGCGCGCAGGCGGUCUUCCAAGUCAGUGGUGAAAGCCCGGAGCUCAACUCCGGAACUGCCAUUGAAACUGUUAGACUUGAGGAUGAGAGAGGUGAGUGGAAUUCCCAGUGUAGAGGUGAAAUUCGUAGAUAUUGGGAAGAACACCGGUGGCGAAGGCGGCUCACUGGCUCAUUACUGACGCUCAGGCGCGAUAGCGUGGGGAUCAAACAGG
This 253-nucleotide ribosomal RNA is filed under the name uncultured bacterium. RNAcentral's name for it is "partial 16S ribosomal RNA". It matches the Rfam family "Bacterial small subunit ribosomal RNA", at positions 524 to 776 of the family's 1533-position model. The record is from RNAcentral.